GAUGAAGAACGUAGCGAAAUGCGAUAAGUAAUGUGAAUUGCAGAAUUCAGUGAAUCAUCGAAUCUUUGAACGCACAUUGCGCCCGCUAGUAUUCUGGCGGGCAUGCCUGUCCGAGCGUCAUUUCAACCCUCAAGCCCCCGGGCUUGGUGUUGGGGAUCGGCGAGCCUCCGCGCCCGCCGUCCCCUAAAUCUAGUGGCGGUCUCGCUGUAGCUUCCUCUGCGUAGUAGCACACCUCGCACUGGGAAACAGCGCGGCCACGCCGUUAAACCCCCAACUUCUGAACGUUUGACCUCGGAUCAGGUAGGAAUACCCGCUGAACUUAAGCAUAUCAAUAAGCGGGA
RNAcentral lists this unclassified non-coding RNA (341 nucleotides) under soil metagenome. RNAcentral's name for it is "partial contains 5.8S ribosomal RNA, internal transcribed spacer 2, and large subunit ribosomal RNA". The stretch from base 1 to 120 matches the Rfam family "5.8S ribosomal RNA", at positions 35 to 154 of the family's 154-position model. The record is from RNAcentral.